GGAGAGAUGGCUCAGUGCUUAAGAGCACUGAUUGCUCCUUCAGAGGACCUGGGUUCAAAUCCCAGCACCC
Rattus norvegicus (Norway rat) is the source of this 70-nucleotide non-coding RNA. The record is from Rfam. Lineage: Eukaryota; Metazoa; Chordata; Mammalia; Rodentia; Muridae.